RNAcentral lists this ribosomal RNA (494 nucleotides) under uncultured bacterium. RNAcentral describes it as "bacterial SSU rRNA". It matches the Rfam family "Bacterial small subunit ribosomal RNA", at positions 15 to 507 of the family's 1533-position model. The record is from RNAcentral.
GAUCAUGGCUCAGGAUGAACGCUGGCGGCGUGCUUAACACAAUGCAAGUCGAACGAAGCACUUUAUUUGAUUCCUUCGGGACUGAUUAUUUUGUGACUGAGUGGCGGACGGGUGAGUAACGCGUGGGUAACCUGCCUCACACUGGGGGAUAACAGUUAGAAAUAGCUGCUAAUACCGCAUAAGCGCACAGUUCCGCAUGGAACAGUGUGAAAAACUCCGGUGGUGUGAGAUGGACCCGCGUCUGAUUAGCCAGUUGGCGGGGUAACGGCCCACCAAAGCGACGAUCAGUAGCCGGCCUGAGAGGGUGAACGGCCACAUUGGGACUGAGACACGGCCCAAACUCCUACGGGAGGCAGCAGUGGGGAAUAUUGCACAAUGGGGGAAACCCUGAUGCAGCGACGCCGCGUGAGUGAAGAAGUAUUUCGGUAUGUAAAGCUCUAUCAGCAGGGAAGAAAGUGACGGUACCUGAAUAAGAAGCCCCGGCUAACUACGUG